Molecule: long non-coding RNA, 3678 nt
Organism: Eriocheir sinensis (Chinese mitten crab)
Lineage: Eukaryota; Metazoa; Arthropoda; Malacostraca; Decapoda; Varunidae
Exons: 3
Source: RefSeq, a predicted model, not a curated record
UAUUUUUGAGCACCACCACCACCACCAUCACUUCCUUAUCCAUAUACUUUCAAUCUUCUCCAUAAUAUAACUGUUUUUUUCUACUGCAUUCCUUGUGUAUUGAUUUAUGUGUUCCUUCCUUUCCUAGUCACUUCUAUUACUUAUAAUCCUUUAGUAGUGUUGUUUUGCUCAUUAUAUUAUUUUUCUAUACCGUGACAUAUUUAUUUUACUCUUCUUUCAUAAUGUCAACUUUCUUUCCUUUCUCAGUGAUUGCCAGUAUAAUAUAAACCAUUAAUAUUUCUAUCCCUAUUAUCCUAACCCUUUAUACCAUGACAUUCAACUCCUCUUCCUUCGUUUCUAGUUUUUCUUCCUGUAUUUCGAUGCCAGUUCAUAUAUAUUGUCCAUUAGUUUCUUUAUUAUCUCUCUAUAUAUUGCAUCAUUAUCAUCUUUAUAUCGCUCUUCAGUAUCUUUCAUUGCCUUACUUCGCUUAUCAGUAUCUUUAUCACCCUUGUAUUUUCCGUCAGUUAUUUUACUCUCCUCUUUAUUGCAUAUCAGUAUCUAUGCUUGCCGUACAUUUCAUUUAUUCAGUCUAUAACUAUUCACUUCUAUUCAGAGUAUAUCAUGACCAAUUCCUCUCCCUUCCAACACUUUCUAAUCAUCUUGUACUUCAGUCUUCCUUUAUUUUUUAGUCCUUAUCGGUAUCUUGAUCUUAGCUUAGGCCUAGUCAAUCUUAUCCAAUAUAUUAACCAUUAUAUUCGUUCGUGACACAAUAGUUAAUUCUUCAUAGCUGGUGUCCCUUCUAUACUCCAUUAGCUAAGUGGUUUCUCUCCCUUAUACCAUGUUAUAUUAUUUCCUCUCCUUUCUUUAUGCUUUAAAUUCCAGGUUUCUAAUAGCUUCGCCAAUAUCUUAGUCCCCCACCCUCUAGUUCAUUCUUUCUCUUCUAUACUCCAUUAGCAAACUGUUUUCUCUCUUAUACCAUGUUAUAUUAUUUCCUCUCCUUUCUUUAUGCUUUAAAUUCCAGCUUUCUAAUAGCUUCGCCAACAUCUUAGUCCUUCAUCCACUAGUUCAUUCGUCAUAGCUUCUCUUCUACACACCAUUAGCUAACUGUUUUCUCUCUUAUACCAUGUUAUAUUUAUUUCGUCUUAUUUCUUUAUGCUUUAAAUUCCAGGUUUCUAAUAGCUUCGCCAAUAUCUUAGUCCCCUACCCUCUAGUUCAUUCGUCAUAGCUUCUCUUCUACACUCCAUUAGCUAACUGUUUUCUCUCUUAUACCAUGUUAUAUUUAUUUCGUCUUAUUUCUUUAUGCUUUAAAUUCCAGGUUUCUAAUAGCUUCGCCAAUAUCUUAGUCCCCUACCCUCUAGUUCAUUCGUCAUAGCUUCUCUUCUACACUCCAUUAGCUAACUGUUUUCUCUCUUAUACCAUGUUAUAUUAUUUCCUCUCCUUUCUUUAUGCUUUAAAUUCCAGGUUUCUAAUAGCUUCGCCAAUAUCUUAGUCCCCCACCCUCUAGUUCAUUCGUCAUAGCUUCUCUUCUACACUCCAUUAGCUAACUGUUUUCUCUCUUAUACCAUGUUAUAUUUAUUUCGUCUUAUUUCUUUAUGCUUUAAAUUCCAGGUUUCUAAUAGCUUCGCCAAUAUCUUAGUCCUUCACCCUCUAGUUCAUUCGUCAUAGCUUCUCUUCUACACACCAUUAGCUAACUGUUUUCUCUCUUAUACCAUGUCAUAUUUAUUUCGUCUUAUUUCUUUAUGCUUUAAAUUCCAGGUUUCUAAUAGCUUCGCCAAUAUCUUAGUCCUUCAUCCACUAGUUCAUUCUUUCUCUUCCACACUCCAUUAGCAAACUGUUUUCUCUCUUAUACCAUGUUAUAUUAUUUCCUCUCCUUUCUUUAUGCUUUAAUUCCAAUCGCAUUCAAUAUCUACGCCAAUAUCUUAGCCUCUGACGCACUAGUUCAUUCUCCAUUGCUUUCUCUUCUUCAUACUCUUAGCUAACUAUUUCCUCACUUGUACCUCGACAUGUUUAUAUCCUCUCCUUUUUUUAUGCUUCAAUUCUAGCCUUCCAAUACCUCAACCAAGAUCUUAGUUUCUGCCACAUUAAUUCAGUCUCAGCUAACUGUUUUCUCUCGUUCCUCCCUUCCUUCCCACUCUUGAUUUCGUCCCUUCCCUGCAAUUACGUAUUUUCUCUCGCCUUUCCCUUCCUUAUUAAUGGCAGUCAGUGGGUCAUUAAGGGGGUCAUGCGUCCUUUUAAUUAGUUGACGUUCUUAUUUCCAUCCGUUCUUAAUUUCUUUCUCUUUACUGUUUUGUGGUAUUACAGUAAGUUAUUUUCAUGUAAUUAUUCUUAUUUGAUUCAUCAUUUUUACUUUUUUUUUCCUAUAUUCAUCAUCGUCUUAUUCAUCGUUUCUCCCUCUGUCAUCGCAUUUUGUAAUCAUCACUUUUUCUUUAUUAAUUUCCUGGUAAUUUAAUUUUGUGUCCUGUUGUCUCCCCUUUCGUGAUUUAAUGAUUCGUUGUCACCUUUUUUGUUUCAUCUCUUUCUCGUGUUAUUCUUCUCCUCCUCUCUUCAUUUGUUUCUUUUCUUUUACGUUCUUAUCAUAUUAUUCGUCUCUCUUCAUUUGCAUCUUUUAUGGCUUGUCUCUUUAUUCCUUUAUUCUCUUCCUCUCUCUUUCUUUCUUCCCUUCGUCGUCUGUGUAUAUAUUUUUAUCCCUUUUUCCUUACGUUAUAAUUACUUCAUUUCCUUUAUUUUCGCCUCCUUCUUUCUUUUUCUUUAGUCUCUUUCUAUUGAUUAUUUUCUCUUCCUUUCCUUUCAGCUUUCUCCUCCGUUUGCAUGUAUAUUUUCAUCUAUUUUUCGACAUCCUAAUUACUUCAUUUCCUUUCUUUUUUGUCUCUUCCUUGCGUUCCCUCUCACUUUCUUUCCACCCAUUACUUUCGUUGCAGUUAUGAUCACCUUCUACAUGUAUAUAAAUAACCUAUAAAAACCUCCUAUAAAUUUGCUAUAACUCGGUUUCUGUUUGUAUAUAACCUAAGAAUAUCUCCACUAACUUGUAUGUCUUGAUGAAUUCGUAUUUCUAUAUAACUUACGAAUCUCUGCUAUAACUUCCCUGAUGGAUUCGUGUUUAUAUAUCAUCUAAGAAUAGUUAUAACUCGUACGUCUUAAAGAAUUCGUAUUUGCUUAUAUAUAACCGAUGAAUAAUUUGCUAUACCUCGGACUCCUUGAUGGGUUCUUUCUAUGUGUUUGUAUAUAACCUUAAGAAUGUUUGCUAUAAUAACCGCUUCUGUUACGACCAUCUCUGUUUCCUGCUGUAUCUGUUCUUCUUCUAUACGACCUUCUGUUACUACCAUGUCUAAGUCUCCUGUUAUGUGUCUACUUUUACUAUCACUGUUAGCUGUUAUAUGCUUUCUUUUGCUUCUACUGGUGAAUUUGAUGUUGAUAGUCUGUUUGCGUGCAGGUGUGUGUGUGUGUGUGUGUGUGUGUGUGUGUGUAUGUACAUGUCAAUCACAAAACGUACAUACACUCUUUUUCUUCUUCCAUAUCCAUCAUCUUGUGUGUGUGUGUGUGUGUGUGUGUGUGUGUGUGUGUGUGUGUGUGUGUGUGUGUGUGUGUGUGUGUGUGUGUGUGUGUGUGUGUGUGUGUGUGUGUGUGUGUUUGUGUGUUUGUUUUCAGUUUCAUGUACACGGUUACGCUAGAUACUGAAUGAUUUACUCACACACACACACA